GCAAAACAAAAAUCUUGGAAAUAAUUCCUCCCUAACCUCAAUUCCAUCAACCCUUCCCACAUCCACUAAUGUCACAUCCCCUUAGUUCUCCCUCUUAAAUAGUCCCCAAAUCCAUCUACUUCUCCCCAAACAAGAUGUCAUCAUCUUGUUUAAGUACCCAGAAUCCAUUUAGUUACUCAGCCAGAAACCUGGGAACAUCCAUUCAUGAUAUCCUUUUCCAUCCCUCCCUUCCACAUUUACUGUGUCUGCCAAUCCCAACUGGCUCUUUUCAAAAUAUCUCAUUCCUUUAAUAACUGCUUGUUCCCACUGCUAGGAGGCUGGUGCAGGUCACUGUCACCUAUCAUUGUCUGCCCUCUUGCUAAAAAGUCAAUCAAGUACAUGUCACUCAUAUAUUAAAACCUUUCAAUGGCUCCCCAUUGUACUUAGAAUAAAAUCCAUCCUCCCCACAUAGCCCGCCUGGCUAACUCUUCUUGUCCCCUGCCUACUUCUUAGAUUCAGUCCACUCUUCCAGCAGCUCCCUCUGUGCUCCAGCUACACCUGAUUUAUUUCUGUUUCUCAAACAACCAGAAUCUCCCCACAUAGCGUCUUUGCCUGUGCCCUUCACACAUCCUGGAAUGUCCUUCCUUGGCUCUUCACAGGACUUGCUCCUCCUUAUGCCGAACAUCCUGUGAAGAGGACAUUCUUCUAUUCGCUAUCAUAACUAUUUAUUUCCAUUAUCUCAGCAGUCAUUUUUUUCCGCGUGUGUUUGUUUGCUUAUUUACUGUUAAUUUUCUGUAUGUUCCUUGUGAUAAUGUAGACACACAGGUGUUGGGGGGUGGGGGACCCAGGAAAGGCCUUUGUGCCCUCCAGGGAGGAAACAGCUGCCAAAAGAAAGUGAUCCACCUAAUCAAUCUAACUUGAGAUCCAAAAGGUCUUGUGUUGAAGAGGGGGUGGGGUUGAGGUGGCUCGUAAGAAGAGACAGUUUGGUCAGAAAAAAACCAU
This 981-nucleotide long non-coding RNA is filed under the name Marmota monax (woodchuck). Lineage: Eukaryota; Metazoa; Chordata; Mammalia; Rodentia; Sciuridae. The record is from RNAcentral.